GCAAGUCUGGUGCCAGCAGCCGCGGUAAUUCCAGCUCCAAUAGCGUAUAUUAAAGUUGUUGCAGUUAAAAAGCUCGUAGUUGAAUUUCGGGAUCAAUAUUUCGGUCAUGCCGUUGGUAUGCACUGUUAUCAUUGAUUUCUCACCUUCUAAAGAACCAUAAUGCCAUUAAUUUGGUGUUACUGGGAAUUAGGACUGUUACCUUGAAAAAAUUAGAGUGUUUAAAGCAGGCUCACGCUUGAAUACAUUAGCAUGGAAUAAUGAAAUAGGACAUCCGAUUCUAUUUUGUUGGUUUCUAGGAUCGAUGUAAUGAUUAAUAGGGAUAGUUGGGGGCAUUAGUAUUCAAUUGUCAGAGGUGAAAUUCUUGGAUUUAUUGAAGACUAACUACUGCGAAAGCAUUUGCCAAGGAUGUUUUCAUUAAUCAAGAACGAAAGUUAGGGGAUCGAAGACGAUCAGAUACCGUCGUAGUCUUAACCAUAAACUAUGCCGACUAGGGAUCGGAUGAUGUUAAUUUUUUAAUGACUCAUUCGGCGCCUUACGGGAAAC
This 543-nucleotide ribosomal RNA is filed under the name uncultured Glomeromycotina. RNAcentral's name for it is "SSU rRNA". It matches the Rfam family "Eukaryotic small subunit ribosomal RNA", at positions 555 to 1098 of the family's 1831-position model. The record is from RNAcentral. Lineage: Eukaryota; Fungi; Glomeromycota.